AUAAACCAACAUUCUCUGCCCAGAGGGAGAAGCUUAGCUAUGGCGACCGCAAUUAUGACCGUUCUCUCCCACGUGUCUGUCCCGAGUCAACUCACCAAUACUAUGUGCUUCUUGUUCAACACGUACUAUACACCGAUCAUCAAACACAGGAGAUUCGCGCCAAAAGUUCGAUCUUCAUCUACUGCCUUCGUCAAAACCAAGCCAGCAGUUUGCUUUUCUUUUCGCUUAUCGUUUUGCCUGCUUGGUUGCUAAUGUCGGUGCGGCUGAAGUGGUUAUUUGGUUUUGAUAUGUUUUGUUUAGGAUCCUGUGGUGGUUGAAAAAAAGGUUAUUGAUAGGUGAUGGCGUAUUGUCCGUAUUCUGCUGGGUCUAGUUUGCAGUGCGGGCGUUGUAAGAACAGUUGCUCUCGGAAGGAAAAACAUCUUGAUUGAUUGUUGCUAAUGGGUCCAUAAAUAUGACGAUUCUAUGCCCUUGGCUACUGAAUUUUUCAGGUGCGGAAAUGCUAUCCAUUGGGAUUGUUUUAUGGCUUAGACAGCGUUCAUACACAUUCGCAUUGAGAUUAGAUGUGAAUAGAUCCAUAUGGUGGAAUUGGUAUCUGCAUUGGCAACUAUAAUGGUUUCUAGUACCCUGAUUGGGGAGGACGUUAUAGUUUACAGUCCUAAUUGUCCUUUUGUUUUUCCUUUAUCUUUUCAAAGUCUAGCUAUUCAUGGCAUAUAUGGCUGCAAUCUUUUUGAACCGUCUAAUUUGUCAAGUGGAAGAAAAGGUGAACUAAUGAAGUAAUCUAAUUUCUGAUCUUAAUGCAGCAGCCAAAUACAGUGAUUAGAACUGAUAUUUUGGGGUGUGGUCACCUAAUGAAUCGCGGAUUGGGUGUGAAUAGUUAAUCUGAUUUACACAUGCCAUUAUAGGAAACUCUGAUUGCAACUCUUGAAUAUGGAUUAAGUUCAGCAAAUGUAGUUAGUGCAACCAUGGGUGUGGAAAAUUUUGAAUGUAACUAGGAACCUAUUUCUGUGGUGACACGUCUUGCCAUUUGAUUUUGUGUGAGAAAUUUCUUUCAUUCUGCAGCUUAGAUACAACGUGGAACUUGGAAUGCUAUGAUUUCUCUUGGCUUAGAUACAACAUAACUGAAAUGGCUUAUUGCUAUGCAAAUUUUUUUGAAAAAUUUGCAAAGUUCAUGAUGAAUAGAUAUUUAGAGAUAUAAUUAAAACUAAGAUAUAUAACUAAAUAACAAGUAUAAAUAUAUCAAAUAAAGACUUUAAAUCCAUCAUAUUUAGACAUGAUUAGUAUUAAUUAAUUUAUAAUAAAAUAACGAGGAUAUUGGAUGGGCAUAUGGAGUAUGGUUCACUGUAGUAGUAUCCUGAAUGGGUUGGGAGAAUAUGGAUGUAAAAGUGUAGAUUAAUUGCUCUUAUUCACUUCAAAUGAACCUUUACUAUUUGAUAUCUUAGUUCAAGAAAUAAAGAUUUUGUGAAGAUGGGAAAUUUGAGAGAAAUAGAUGGAAAACGUCUGAUGAGUAAUGUCCUAUAUGUCCACGUGGGUAAUGCUUGUUACCCAUUAAGUAACGGCCGGUAACAGCCGUUGCCCGUUAUUUGUGUGUGUGUGUAUAUAUAUAUAUAUAUUUGUUGUUUAAAAGAGGUAUCAAUGACGCUAUCCCCCAAAAACCUGUAAAUGAUGGCUAUUAUGUAAUGUAGUUGUUGUUAUUCUUGAUUUCUUUAGGUCACUGCUAAUGUAUUUGGCACUGUCAUGUACAAUCAAUAUAAAACUACUGAAUACCACAUCAAAUGUUUUUUUUUCCUUAUCACAUUUUAAUAACUUCUUGAAUCAGGCAUCCAUUUAUCUCAUUUCUCUAUGAGAGGGGUUGGCGUCAAAAUUUCAUAUGGGGUGGUUUCUCUGGCCUGGAAAAAUAAGUGAUAGGACAGUUUCUUUAUUGAAAGUUACUUAAGCAAUUUUGUUUUCCAUUAAUAGAUUUCUUUCAAUGGCUGUCUUCUACAACCUCUCUCUCUCACCUGCUCCCUGUGUGUGUAUGUGUGCACAUAUCAUACAUAUUGCUGAUAUAAACUAGUGUUCGUGUAAGCAUCAAGGGGUUGAAGUUGUAGGUUUAUGAAUGAAUUAUACUUCUGGUAGUGCGAAGCAUAAUGUCACAGUCAUAAUCUAUAAUUAUGUACAUGUUCACGUGAAUAUUUUGGAGAUAAUAGAUGUUUUGUUUAUUUAAUAGAUGAAGGAAGAUUUCAUCUUUAAGAAAAGCAUGACAAUACUCAAUGAAACUCUCAUCGCUCAUGUCAAGUGUCUUUUUGUGGAAUGAAUAAAUGGCCUAGCUAUCUGUGCACAGAAAAGCAAACAGACUCCUUUUGACAUUGCCUAAUACACAAUGAGCGUUUUGAAAUGCUAACAUAUGUAAUAUCUAUCUUAUAAUCAUUAAUGUCAUUUAACAAAUUUUAUUGACAUUAACUAGAUUUUACCAAUCCAUGCCCAUACCUUUUCCUAUUCCCCUUGUAUCAUAAAGCCACUAAAGAAAUAGGGUUUUGUAAUGCAGUUUGAAUUAAUAGAGGAUUACCUGAAGCCUGUUUUAGGUGGAAAUAUUAUUGAUGCUAGUUGCUGUAGUGGAUUAUAUUCAAGACUUUUUGCCAAGGGUGGGUUGUUUUCUCUUGAUGUUGCUCUGGACUACUCAGAAAACAUGCUACAGCAGUGCUAUGAAUUCAUCAAGCUGGAGGAAAACUUUCUCAAAGAGUAUGAAUCAAAUCUUUUAAUUUAAAUGCAUUUUAUUUAUUUGAUUAUUUUGACUAAUCUAGAUAGGUGGUCAAACUUAUAAAUUUUAUUAGUUACACUAUAUGUGGAAUUUCUUUUCUGCUUUUUAAAUUUUAUAAUUUAGGGUUUUAUUUAUGAUUGAGUAUUAUGCCUUUAGCAAUCUAAUAUUUGUCGGAGCUGAUAUCUCUGGACUACCUUUUCUUUCUGGCUUUGUUGAUGCUGGCGCUGCUAUACGCUGUUGGCUUUGCCAUCAGCAGCUGUAAGCUUUUCUCUUGCUUGGUUAUUUUAAGCUAGUUGUUCUAUUUGCUUGAGAUCCCUUCAUUACUGGCACAGAACACAGGCAAUUAGUUACUGUUAUUUUGAGAGGAAGGUAAGUUCACACCUUAGCAAGGAAAGCAAAAGGUUUACACCUCAAAGCAUCCGGCUUUGAUGAAGCUCGUGCUUCACUCUUUUGAAUCCAUCUCAUUAUAUUUGUCUCCUUAAUUAUGAAAACUUGGAGUAACUAUUCCAUAAAUUCAUGUUUCACACUUUUGAUAUCGUUAUAUAUAGUUCCCUUUUUUAGGAAAACUUGUACCUAUAUAUUCCACAAAUUGUCUUAUUUUGACCUCAGAGACGGACCUAGUAUAGAGCCAAGGGGGGCACUGGGCCCCCUGGAAUUUCAAAAAUCUUCAGGGAUAUUUUAGUAAUUUCACUAAGCCCUAAAAUUUAUUUUCUCCACCAGCAGAAGUGAGCAGAAUUCUCUUGCCAAAAAAUCAGCCGACUGCCAAUAUUUGCCUCUCCUCUUCUCUCUAGUUACAUUUUCUUCCUCCAAUAUGUAUGGGUUUUCUUUCAGUUUGUGUAUUUGAAUUGCAUUGGUGGAUUUUCCAUGGAAACAAAGCUGUUUGCUUUAUUAGGGAUGGGUAUUUGGUGAAAUGCAUGGAAGCUCUGUUUUUUGAUAAUUAUUUUAAGCUUUGAACAAGACCCAUGGUGUUGGUGCAUCAUGUCCCUUUCCUUACCUUCAUAUCUGUUAAAUCCCAAAAUUUACCAUAAAUCCCGUAUUGUAGGUGCAAUUUGAUCUUUGUUGAAGAUUAAUUACAUUUUGUGCUUGAUCUUUACGGAUCACAGAAUCGCCCUAUUUUUUUGGGAGAUUUACUUUAUAUUUCUCAACUUAACAUAUUCAAUUUUUUUAGCAUAAUUAAGUUUCAUUUAUUAUCUAUCAUGCUGAAUUUUUUAAAAACUGUUAUUAGUGGCAUAUUUGUAAUGGAUUUUUUUUAAUGACAUGAUGUUAGUUUUGGUUAUUGAAUUAUUAUAUACUUAAUUGUUUAUUUAGCUAUGCAAUCAAAUGGUUUUCCAUGAGAUAUUGAAUUUAAUUAUAGAUGAUAAAUUAUUUUUGUAAUUUUCUGAGGCACAAGUUACACUUUGUUGAUUUAUAGGCUGAGCUCCUUUUGAUUUCUUAAGCACAUAUAUUAAUUGUUAGUAACAUGUUUUCUUUUGUGCUGAAAUAUUUUAGUAAAUAUUUGCAUUUACUAAGGUUUUCUUUGCUCUGAGAAAAUUGUGUUGGUUCACCAUCUCAUCUCAUCCCAUCUGUUGUUUGAGGAUUUAAAAGCUUUGUUUAAAGAUUUAUCACGACAACUUGCUGCAGUGACCCCUGUUUCUAACGAUUUAUUAUCUUUUUGUAAGAAAUUCUAUUGUCUAUUUAUAUUUAUUUCAUGUAUGUUAUUUUAUAAAUCACAUAUUUUAAUUGGACCCUUCUCAAUUGAAUUUCUGCGUAUGUCACUGCUUGGCCUUACUUCUGGCCAUCAUAUUUAGCUUCAUGAACUCUGGUGAAAGCUUUGAUAGACAUCUCUUCUGAAAUUUCUUAUUUUCUCUCUAUUGUUGUUGUUAUUUGCUUUAUGAGUUUUCAAAGUGACAAACAUUUUCAAGAACUUGAUGUGAUGAAUCAUGGUUAUUUAUUUGACUUCUUUACUUAAUACUCUUCUUUCCCAAAUACAACUUUUAUUGUCCCUUUAUUUCUUUAGAGUUCAUUUUGUCUGGAUUCCAUGGAAAGAUAGAUUCUUUGCUUCAAUAUCUCUUGACAAGUUAAUAGAUGAUUUCAGCUGGCAAAAUCUUUCUUUGAUUCAAUAUCUCUUGACAAGUUAAUAGAUCAUUUCAGCUGGCAAAAUCUUAAGAUACCCUUUAUGCUGCACAUAUGCAUCUCUUCACCCCUAGUUUGAAUGCAGGCUUCCUCAUUUUUUUGUGGAGUGUUUUUCUAUCAAUAUACCAGAAACAUGACAAUUUUUCUUAUCAACUUUAGUAAGCACCUAUGGCAAAUGAAAUUGACUAGACUCUGGCACAUACGGGAUUCCAUAUGUUAAGGGAUAUAGUUAAGUGCUUCGCAAAAAAGAACAGAAAAGAAGAUAUGACUCACAAAAUUGAUGAAGUUUCCAGAUUUGAUUUCGGCAUUCAUAUUGUGGAUAAAGCCUUAAAUAUGUGCAAGAUAUGAAUUCAAACUCUAGAUUUUGAGAUAAUGCAUGUCUAUUGUCUAGCACCUCUGAAGUUGUAGACUGUCUACUUUAUCUGUCGCUAGUGUGCUUUCCAAGAUCCCAAUUCCUCACUUUGCUAGCAGGUCUCCUGACUUGUUAUCUUCGGUUUUAUAGUAUCUGAAAUAAGUUGAGUUCUGAGACCUGGAGGUGUUUUCGUUGCUACAACUGCCAUACUUGAUGGGCCUUCUAGUUUUGUCCGACUUUUGGGGCCUCUACUCCAGGUAUACUCUUGAAUGGAUGUAUUUUAAGAUUUGCAUUUAGCAAUAGCAUUUGAAAAAUAUGGUCAAGGAAAGAAUUCCAGUUUCAGUUAAUGGCAUUGAAGCAGAUCAGUCCUUUCCCAUCGUCAUCUCUUGUAUUGAGAUCAUCAUGGUGUUUGCUAGUUCCUUUGGGUUGCAUGUCUGCUUUUAUGAUAGGAUUAGUAUGUGCUAGCACAAUAAAACCAAAAAUUAGAAGGAGAUGAUGAAAAGAAAAGGUGAACUACUAUGAAUUUGAGUGGCUAUUCUUAAGGACUUAGUUGAAUUUUUGUAAGCAUUCAAGUUUUAGUUUUAAUUAUGUUUCUAUA
Molecule: long non-coding RNA, 5799 nt
Organism: Hevea brasiliensis (rubber tree)
Lineage: Eukaryota; Viridiplantae; Streptophyta; Magnoliopsida; Malpighiales; Euphorbiaceae
Exons: 2
Source: RefSeq, a predicted model, not a curated record